This is a long non-coding RNA of Ipomoea nil (Japanese morning glory), 459 nucleotides long. RefSeq lists it as uncharacterized. The transcript is spliced from 2 exons. Lineage: Eukaryota; Viridiplantae; Streptophyta; Magnoliopsida; Solanales; Convolvulaceae. The record is from RefSeq and is a predicted model, not a curated record.
UAAGUGCAUAGUAAAGAAUUGCAAGAACAAUGAAGAAAGUGAAGGGGUCAAUUACCAUAUGUGGAAAAAGAAAACAUAAUGUUGAAGAUAAAGAUUGUUUCUGCCCGCCGAACACCUACCGCUGGAUCGAGGAGGAUUAACCGAUUGGUUAGUAGAGUUUCGUCCGGCCGGGUUUCGACUUCAGAAACUCCAAUUAGCUAUAAUUCUGGCGGUGGUGUGGUAAUUUCCGAGUCGCAGCAAUUUGUUCUUUCCCGUGAAUUAAUCCAGCGUCAGCUUCAUUUCUUCUUUGCAUGCAAUCUCAAUUUCUGGGCGACGAAAUUUGGUCUGGUGCGAUGGUAAUUCUGGGCAGAACUUAUUAAUCUGCAUAAGAACUCUUUUUUUUUUUCCUUUAAUUCAUUUGCUAUUGCUGUUUCUAUUGGAUUUGCUUAUAUUGAGCAAUGUGUUUGUGGCGAGGUUUCU